Molecule: ribosomal RNA, 433 nt
Filed under: uncultured bacterium
Lineage: Bacteria
Description: partial 16S ribosomal RNA
Rfam family: Bacterial small subunit ribosomal RNA
Source: RNAcentral
AACGAACGCUGGCGGCAUGCCUAACACAUGCAAGUCGAACGAAGGCUUCGGCCUUAGUGGCGCACGGGUGCGUAACGCGUGGGAAUCUGCCCUUUGCUUCGGAAUAACAGUUAGAAAUGACUGCUAAUACCGGAUGAUGUCGCAAAACCAAAGAUUUAUCGGCAAAGGAUGAGCCCGCGUAGGAUUAGCUAGUUGGUGGGGUAAAGGCCUACCAAGGCGACGAUCCUUAGCUGGUCUGAGAGGAUGAUCAGCCACACUGGGACUGAGACACGGCCCAGACUCCUACGGGAGGCAGCAGUGGGGAAUAUUGGACAAUGGGCGAAAGCCUGAUCCAGCAAUGCCGCGUGAGUGAUGAAGGCCUUAGGGUUGUAAAGCUCUUUUACCCGGGAUGAUAAUGACAGUACCGGGAGAAUAAGCUCCGGCUAACUCCGUG